This 75-nucleotide transfer RNA is filed under the name Bacillota bacterium. RNAcentral describes it as "tRNA-Asn". It matches the Rfam family "tRNA". From Rfam's summary of the family: Transfer RNA (tRNA) molecules are approximately 80 nucleotides in length. The record is from RNAcentral. RNAcentral also lists the same sequence under 1 other name. Lineage: Bacteria; Bacillati; Bacillota.
UCCUGGUUAGCUCAAUGGUAGAGCAUCCGGCUGUUAACCGGAGGGUUGCAGGUUCGAGUCCUGCACCAGGAGCCA